CCGCCGAUGCUGCGCCGCUCACCACUGCUGAACUCUGCUCCUCUCUAUCACCUUCUAACACCAUCGCCACACUAUGGCCACACCCAACCAGCCCAACGUUUCUACUAAUGCUAAGUCAAUAUGCUUAGAAUACAUGAAUGAAAGGUCUGGUUUGUUUUUAGUUUUCUACCCUCCGCUUAAGAGAAAGUGGCCAAAGGUGGCGAGUAAGAGAUGGGGUUGGAGGCCAGGGUUCAGGAAGUAUACAGUUUGGAGAUUAUCCCAAACAUUGAUGGGGAUGGCCUCGUUUAUCCACCGUAGCGCCGAGAUUCCAGGGAAGUUCUCGCUCCUUUGAACCCCGAUGUGCACGUACAACGCCAAAAACGUCUUUCCUAGCCUUGGAAAUAUAUGCUCUUCCAAAUACAUCUUCACAAUGUCAACGCUCAAUAACUGAGCUGAUCCACCCACGCCCCCCACGUCAAAAUACCAUCCACAACUCAAAUAUUCUUUAAACAAAAUGAUAAUACUAAUAAGUCAACAAAAAAAGGGGUGGGGGCAUGGGGAUCAUUAAUUACUAGGGAAGAAUUUUCCGGUAAUACGAAGGAUCUUGUGGCCUUGUUUAUAUUUGAUGCGGAUCUUGAAAAUGUCGAGUUUGUGGAAGAGGAAUUCUCGAUUAGACUAGAAAACCUGGGAUGACAGGAUUGUUGGGGUUUGUUUUGAGAAGGGGAGAAGAAGAAGAAGAAGAAGAAGAAGAUUAAAAAAAUUAAAAAAAAAAAAUAGAAAGACGCGAGGGAGAGGGAGAAUAAGAAAGAAAUUAUUUUUAAUAU
Molecule: long non-coding RNA, 803 nt
Filed under: Gossypium barbadense (sea-island cotton)
Lineage: Eukaryota; Viridiplantae; Streptophyta; Magnoliopsida; Malvales; Malvaceae
Description: long non-coding RNA (GBAR_LNC022710)
Source: RNAcentral